Molecule: long non-coding RNA, 2286 nt
Filed under: Rattus norvegicus (Norway rat)
Lineage: Eukaryota; Metazoa; Chordata; Mammalia; Rodentia; Muridae
Description: long non-coding RNA NONRATT014443
Source: RNAcentral
GUCCUCUUGUUUCUAGGUUGUUGGGGGCUGUGGGGCUUCCAGAGCUUUGGGAGUUAGAAGCAGAACCUCGAACACAGUACUAGGUUUGCCUUGCAGACAUGACAUCUGCCCCCUGCCCAGCCUCUAGGUGGCCUGGCCUUACCUACCUACAAUAGUUAGAAGCAGGAUUCAAGGCAGCCUUUGGCUAUUUGUGUCUUUCACAGAAACAGUCCUGUCACCCUCUUCUCCCCCAUCACUCUUUGGAUGCAGGUCUAGUUGGCCACACAGUGUCUCCCUAUCCCAGCUCAGGGUGCCUAACGGGCACCUGCCCUGCUCUGGUCAUGGCUUUGGGUAGCUGCUGGGACCUAGGAUCCUGCUGGCUGACCCUGCAUGCCUUGGCCUAGUAUAGCCAGUGCCAGCACCCUGGCUUGGGAUGGGCCUCUGUAUGUGGCAAGAUUGGGUCUCACUGGCCGCUCUGCUUGUGUUGUCUUUUUCCCACCUGCCGGUACCCCACCCUGCCUGUCCUCAGGACCCUCUGUCUCUGUCCACAGUGCCCUCAGCCAGCAUGACCCGCCUUGCGCGCUCUCGUACCGCGUCCCUCACCAGCGCCAGUUCUGUGGAUGGUAGCCGCCCUCAGCCCUGCACCCACUCAGACAGCAGUGAGGGGAUGGGCCAGGUCAACCACACCAUGGAGGUGUCCUGCUGAAGUCCUCGUCCUGCCCAAGACACCCGCUUACCUGCCCCCAGGUCCCACUGCCAUCUUCGCACCGGCUCAUCUUCCCUCUGGUUUAUUUUUGUGAGAGUGAAGGGGAGGAAAUGGGGUUACUUCUCUUUUACUUAAAACGAAGGGAUCCACCUUAGGACGGCGCAGAACAACAGUCUUAGAGGAUGUGAAGGGCUCACCUUAUACACUCGCAUCUCACCGGCCACUGGUUGAUACGGCCCCCUUCGUCUGCCCGUCUGGGGUGUGGCCAGGAUGUAGGACAUAGUACGAAAGAAAGCACAGCCCACCCCCUGGAGCUGGCAGAUAGGGAGUUUGAAGAUGGCAGGUGCUGAGCCAAGGCUCUGUUGUGAGUGGGAGUCAGACCAGUGGGGAGCCGUCCCUUUUCUGUAACCCUUGUACCAAGCACACCUAACAGUAGAGGUGACAGUCAUGAGGACAGUAGCCACAAGAGAGCGCUCUGAGCAGUCAGCCAUUUUCCUGGUGCUCUCUGGGCAGGACAUGAUAGAAGGCUAGCCAGGCUGAAGACAGAAUAUGGAGAACCCUGACAUGGGGGCAGGAACCCCAUACUCUGCCACCACAGGGCCAUGUCCCACCCUGAGGCAAAGGUCACCUGGUCUCUCUUGUCCCCGUUGGUAGAGGUGAAAUGUUGAUGGCUUUGUAUGCUGUGUACAGCCCCUGAGAACUUCAUGGUUGCCCCUUUGGGAGCUGGCAGGUACUGUAGGUCCCUCCUAUCCCAGGUUUCAAACAGCGAGUGUUUGUCACAGUGCCCUGGUCGACCUGGGCCGGCGUGUCACAGACAUUAUUACUUGAGAAGUGAGCAUUAGGAAGAUACAAGACAGAAAGAUACAAUGACCUCUGCUUGCUGAAGGGGCUGGAAAUGGCCUGCUCCUUGUGUGGGAGAUGGGUUAUUCUCCAGAUGAACAAAGGCUCCGUACCUCCUACAGCCCGCAACUAUGUCUGCCACCUGACCAUGUAGACUCUCACAGCCCAGAGCUAUUGUGUCAGCCAUCCCCAGAGAAGAGAGAGAGCACUUAAGUGUGAAUAUGGGGUGGGCGUGAUGUAUGUGGUGUUGUGUGGGUGUUCUGAGGCAGGAGGACACCUACAUCCGUGUGUCUGUGGCAUAUGCCACCCCUUCUUUCUGUAACUGUAAGCCAUUUCCAGACUGCUCUGAAGUCCAGUGGAGUGUAUCCUAUCCCUGGUUCUGUUCACUCACGUGCUUCCGUGAAUACCGAGUGUGACUGUUUAAAGCUGGCAGAAUUAAUCCCUUACUGUAGAUAGCACUUCAAGUAUUGGACAUCUUUUUGCUGUGUUCUUAAGAUAUCUAUAAAUACCUAUACAUUAUAUAUAUAUGUAUGUAUAUCGGGUCCUUCUGUAUGUGGUUUCCCAUUGAUGGUUGUCUUCUCUUUGGUCAGGAUGAACUUUUAAUGGAGUUCAUUACUUCCCUCUCUGUACAAAGUUAAGAGCCUAAUUUUGUGUAUUCUGGUGGCUGAUAAGAGACUUUGAGAUUACAAAAUGCAAAACAAAAAUCCUUAUUGAUAUAGAAAGAUAUCUGUGCAGAAAAACUAAUAAAGAAAUUAAGCGUA